CCCCUAGUAACGGCGAGUGAAGCGGGAACAGCUCAAAUUUGAAAUCUGGCCUUCGGGUCCGAAUUGUAAUUUGCAGAGGAUGCUUUUGGUUAGGUACUUUCCGAGUUCCCUGGAACGGGACGCCUUAGAGGGUGAGAGCCCCGUACGGUUGGAUACCGAGCCUUUGUAAAGCUCCUUCGACGAGUCGAGUAGUUUGGGAAUGCUGCUCUAAAUGGGAGGUAAAUUUCUUCUAAAGCUAAAUACCGGCCAGAGACCGAUAGCGCACAAGUAGAGUGAUCGAAAGAUGAAAAGCACUUUGAAAAGAGGGUUAAAUAGCACGUGAAAUUGUUGAAAGGGAAGCGUUUAUGACCAGACUUUUUCCAGGCGAAUCAUCCGGUGUUCUCGCCGGUGCACUUCGUCUGGUUGAGGCCAGCAUCGGUUUCCGUGGGGGGAUAAAAGCGGUGGGAAUGUGACUCCUCCGGGAGUGUUAUAGCCCGCCGUAUAAUACCUCCAUGGGGACCGAGGUUCGCGCAUUGCAAGGAUGCUGGCGUAAUGGUCAUCAACGACCCGUCUUGAAACACGGACCAAGGAGUCGAACAUUUGUGCAAGUGUUUGGGUGUUAAACCCUCACGCGUAAUGAAAGUGAACGGAGGUGAGAGCCCUUACGGGUGCAUCAUCGACCGAUCCUGAUGUUUUCGGAUGGAUUUGAGUAAGAGCAUAACUGUUCGGACCCGAAAGAUGGUGAACUAUGCGUGGAUAGGGUGAAGCCAGAGGAAACUCUGGUGGAGGCUCGCAGCGGUUCUGACGUGCAAAUCGAUCGUCAAAUCUGCGCAUGGGGGCGAAAGACUAAUCGAACCAUCUAGUAGCUGGUUACCGC
This 856-nucleotide ribosomal RNA is filed under the name Beltrania rhombica. RNAcentral's name for it is "partial large subunit ribosomal RNA". It matches the Rfam family "Eukaryotic large subunit ribosomal RNA", at positions 77 to 961 of the family's 3401-position model. Lineage: Eukaryota; Fungi; Ascomycota; Sordariomycetes; Amphisphaeriales; Beltraniaceae. The record is from RNAcentral.